AUGGAGCCCCAGGAGAGUGCAGGGACCAAAGUCCUGCUGCGGAGUUUCGCACUGCGCUCCUUCCCAGGCAAGCUUAGAAGCAAAAUUAAGAGACAUCAGAGUCUGGGCUGCUGCGGGAUAUUUUGCAGAACACUGUGAAGCGUCCUCUAUGUGUGAAGCAUCCUCUGUGUGUGAAGCACCCGCCGUCAGUCAAGCAUGCCCAGCGCUUUCUCUCAGAGCUCAACAAGAUGCACGAGGCUGUCCACCCGGAGCCUCUGGACGAGCUGGACGAGGCGCUGGCGGAGAUUCUGAUGGCCAAGGAGUGCACCCAGGGCCACUGGAGCUAUCUGCUGCCCUUGGGAAACUCGGUCCCGCUCUCCGAGAGCACAGCCGUCAACUCGCACGGCACCACGGGCCUGGUCACAUGGGACGCUGCCCUCUACCUUGCAGAAUGGGCCAUCCAGAACCCGGCAGCCUUCACUCACAGGGCCGUCCUAAAGCUUGGCAGUGGUGGUGCUGGCCUCACAGGCCAGGCCAUCUGCAAGAUGGGCUGUCCCCGCGCAUACAUCUUCAGCGACUGUCACAGCCGAGUCCUCGAGCAGCUCCAAGGGAAAGUCCUUCUCAAUGGCCUCUCGUUAGAGGCAGACGUCAUUGUCAAUGGAGACAGCCCCAGGGCGACAGUGACCCAGCCGGACGGGACAGCUCUCUGCCUUCCAGCCAGACAUUGUCAUCACGGCAGGAAACGUGCUGUGUUGCCCGGAAGCCAUCGGGUCACUGGUCGGGGUCCUGCGGAGGCUGGCUGCCUGCUGCGAACACCAGGGGGCUCCUGAGGUCUACGUGGCCUUCAUCGUCGGCAACUCAGAGACGGGCCAGCUGUUCACCACCGAGCUAGGCUGGGCCGGGAUCAGCUGGAAAGCGGAACUUUCGUCACGACCAGAAACUGUUUCCCUACGAAAAGUACUUGGAGAUGGCAAUUCCGAAACUCAUACUGUAG
Cebus imitator (Panamanian white-faced capuchin) is the source of this 973-nucleotide RNA transcript. It is a transcript of the gene named protein-lysine N-methyltransferase EEF2KMT-like, with no coding region annotated. NCBI's taxonomy places the organism in Eukaryota, Metazoa, Chordata, Mammalia, Primates, Cebidae. The record is from RefSeq and is a predicted model, not a curated record. The transcript is spliced from 2 exons.